This 809-nucleotide ribosomal RNA is filed under the name uncultured Stenotrophomonas bacterium. Its description in RNAcentral is "bacterial SSU rRNA". It matches the Rfam family "Bacterial small subunit ribosomal RNA", at positions 66 to 864 of the family's 1533-position model. Lineage: Bacteria; Pseudomonadati; Pseudomonadota; Gammaproteobacteria; Lysobacterales; Lysobacteraceae. The record is from RNAcentral.
GCAGCACAGCAGUAGCAAUACUGUGGGUGGCGAGUGGCGGACGGGUGAGGAAUACAUCGGAAUCUACCUUUUCGUGGGGGAUAACGUAGGGAAACUUACGCUAAUACCGCAUAAGACCUUCGGGUGAAAGUGGGGGACCUUCGGGCCUCACGCGGAUAGAUGAGCCGAUGUCGGAUUAGCUUGUUGGCGGGGUAAAAGCCCACCAAGGCGACGAUCCGUAGCUGGUCUGAGAGGAUGAUCAGCCACACUGGAACUGAGACACGGUCCAGACUCCUACGGGAGGCAGCAGUGGGGAAUAUUGGACAAUGGGCGCAAGCCUGAUCCAGCCAUACCGCGUGGGUGAAGAAGGCCUUCGGGUUGUAAAGCCCUUUUGUUGGGAAAGAAAUCCUGUCGGUUAAUAACCGGUAGGGAUGACGGUACCCAAAGAAUAAGCACCGGCUAACUUCGUGCCAGCAGCCGCGGUAAUACGAAGGGUGCAAGCGUUACUCGGAAUUACUGGGCGUAAAGCGUGCGUAGGUGGUUGUUUAAGUCUGCUGUGAAAGCCCUGGGCUCAACCUGGGAAUUGCAGUGGAUACUGGGCGACUAGAGUGUGGUAGAGGAUAGUGGAAUUUCCGGUGUAGCAGUGAAAUGCGUAGAGAUCGGAAGGAACAUCUGUGGCGAAGGCGACUAUCUGGGCCAACACUGACACUGAGGCACGAAAGCGUGGGGAGCAAACAGGGAUUAGAUACCCUGGUUAUCCACGCCCUAAACGAUGCGAACUGGAUGUUGGGCACAACUUGGUGCCCAGUAUCGAAGCUAACGCGUUUAAG